GUUAUAGGGUCAAGCGAACAAGUGCAUGUGGUGGAUGCCUUGGCGAUCACAGGCGAUGAAGGACGCGGUAGCCUGCGAAAAGCUACGGGGAGCUGGCAAACGAGCUUUGAUCCGUAGAUGUCCGAAUGGGGAAACCCACUCCUUUUGGAGUAUCCAUGGCUGAAUACAUAGGCCAUGCGAAGCGAACGCGGUGAACUGAAACAUCUAAGUAACCGCAGGAAAAGAAAUCAACCGAGAUUCCCAAAGUAGUGGCGAGCGAAAUGGGAUGAGCCUUGCACUCUUUAUUUGUAUUGUUAGCCGAACGCUCUGGAAAGUGCGGCCAUAGCAGGUGAUAGCCCUGUAGGCGAAAACAGUAUGAAAGAACUAGGUGUGCGACAAGUAGGGCGGGACACGUGAAAUCCUGUCUGAAGAUGGGGGGACCAUCCUCCAAGGCUAAAUACUCGUGAUCGACCGAUAGUGAACCAGUACCGUGAGGGAAAGGCGAAAAGAACCCCGGGAGGGGAGUGAAAUAGAUCCUGAAACCGCAUGCAUACAAACAGUCGGAGCCUCGUAAGGGGUGACGGCGUACCUUUUGUAUAAUGGGUCAGCGACUUACGUUCAGUAGCAAGCUUAACCGUAUAGGGCAGGCGUAGCGAAAGCGAGUCCGAAUAGGGCGUUCAGUUGCUGGGCGUAGACCCGAAACCAGGUGAUCUAUCCAUGGCCAGGAUGAAGGUGCGGUAACACGUACUGGAGGUCCGAACCCACUAACGUUGAAAAGUUAGGGGAUGAGCUGUGGAUAGGGGUGAAAGGCUAAACAAACCUGGAAAUAGCUGGUUCUCUCCGAAAACUAUUUAGGUAGUGCCUCGUGUCUCACCUUCGGGGGUAGAGCACUGUCAUGGUUGGGGGGUCUAUUGCAGAUUACCCCGCCAUAGCAAACUCCGAAUACCGAAGAGUGCAAUCACGGGAGACAGACAUCGGGUGCUAACGUCCGGUGUCAAGAGGGAAACAACCCAGACCGCCAGCUAAGGUCCCCAAAUAUAGCUAAGUGGGAAACGAAGUGGGAAGGCUAAAACAGUCAGGAGGUUGGCUUAGAAGCAGCCACCCUUUAAAGAAAGCGUAAUAGCUCACUGAUCGAGUCGUCCUGCGCGGAAGAUGUAACGGGGCUAAGCUAUAUACCGAAGCUGCGGAUGCGUGCUUAGCACGCAUGGUAGGAGAGCGUUCCGUAAGCCUGCGAAGGUGCCUUGUAAAGGGUGCUGGAGGUAUCGGAAGUGCGAAUGCUGACAUGAGUAGCGAUAAAGGGGGUGAAAGGCCCCCUCGCCGUAAGCCCAAGGUUUCCUACGCAACGUUCAUCGGCGUAGGGUGAGUCGGCCCCUAAGGCGAGGCAGAAAUGCGUAGCUGAUGGGAAGCAGGUCAAUAUUCCUGCACCAUUGUUAGAUGCGAUGGGGGGACGGAUCGCGGAAGGUUGUCCGGGUGUUGGAAGUCCCGGUCGCUGCAUUGGAGAAGGCGCUUAGGCAAAUCCGGGCGCGCAAUUCAAGGGUGUGGCGCGAGCUCCCUAGGGAGCGAAGCAAUUGGAAGUGGUUCCAAGAAAAGCCUCUAAGCUUCAGUCUAACGAUGACCGUACCGCAAACCGACACAGGUGGGCGAGAUGAGUAUUCUAAGGCGCUUGAGAGAACUCGGGAGAAGGAACUCGGCAAAUUGGUACCGUAACUUCGGGAUAAGGUACGCCCUUGUAGCUUGACUGGCCUGCGCCAGGAGGGUGAAGGGGUUGCAAUAAACUGGUGGCUGCGACUGUUUAAUAAAAACACAGCACUCUGCAAACACGAAAGUGGACGUAUAGGGUGUGACGCCUGCCCGGUGCCGGAAGAUUAAAUGAUGGGGUGCAAGCUCUUGAUUGAAGUCCCGGUAAACGGCGGCCGUAACUAUAACGGUCCUAAGGUAGCGAAAUUCCUUGUCGGGUAAGUUCCGACCUGCACGAAUGGCGUAACGAUGGCCACACUGUCUCCUCCCGAGACUCAGCGAAGUUGAAGUGUUUGUGAUGAUGCAAUCUACCCGCGGCUAGACGGAAAGACCCCAUGAACCUUUACUGUAGCUUUGCAUUGGACUUUGAACCGAUCUGUGUAGGAU
Molecule: ribosomal RNA, 2103 nt
Filed under: Burkholderia cenocepacia
Lineage: Bacteria; Pseudomonadati; Pseudomonadota; Betaproteobacteria; Burkholderiales; Burkholderiaceae
Description: bacterial LSU rRNA
Rfam family: Bacterial large subunit ribosomal RNA
Source: RNAcentral